RNAcentral lists this ribosomal RNA (253 nucleotides) under uncultured bacterium. Its description in RNAcentral is "partial 16S ribosomal RNA". It matches the Rfam family "Bacterial small subunit ribosomal RNA", at positions 524 to 776 of the family's 1533-position model. The record is from RNAcentral.
UACGUAGGGGGCUAGCGUUGUCCGGAAUCAUUGGGCGUAAAGAGCGCGUAGGCGGCCAGAUAAGUCCGGUGUGAAAGUCACAGGCUCAACCUGUGAAUGCCGCUGGAAACUGUCUGGCUAGAGUCCGGAAGGGGCGAGUGGAAUUCCUGGUGUAGCGGUGAAAUGCGCAGAUAUCGGGAGGAACACCAGUGGCGAAAGCGACUUUCUGGUCCUUAACUGACGCUGAGGCGCGAAAGCAUGGGGAGCGAACGGG